Molecule: ribosomal RNA, 464 nt
Filed under: Vreelandella stevensii
Lineage: Bacteria; Pseudomonadati; Pseudomonadota; Gammaproteobacteria; Oceanospirillales; Halomonadaceae
Description: partial 16S ribosomal RNA
Rfam family: Bacterial small subunit ribosomal RNA
Source: RNAcentral
CCUACGGGGGCAGCAGUGGGGAAUAUUGGACAAUGGGCGAAAGCCUGAUCCAGCCAUGCCGCGUGUGUGAAGAAGGCCUUCGGGUUGUAAAGCACUUUCAGUGGGGAAGAAAGCCUUGGGGCUAAUACCCUCGAGGAAGGACAUCACCCACAGAAGAAGCACCGGCUAACUCCGUGCCAGCAGCCGCGGUAAUACGGAGGGUGCGAGCGUUAAUCGGAAUUACUGGGCGUAAAGCGCGCGUAGGCGGUCUGAUAAGCCGGUUGUGAAAGCCCCGGGCUCAACCUGGGAACAGCAUCCGGAACUGUCAGGCUAGAGUGCAGGAGAGGAAGGUAGAAUUCCCGGUGUAGCGGUGAAAUGCGUAGAGAUCGGGAGGAAUACCAGUGGCGAAGGCGGCCUUCUGGACUGACACUGACGCUGAGGUGCGAAAGCGUGGGUAGCAAACAGGAUUAGAUACCCCAGUAGUC